Molecule: long non-coding RNA, 379 nt
Organism: Mastomys coucha (southern multimammate mouse)
Lineage: Eukaryota; Metazoa; Chordata; Mammalia; Rodentia; Muridae
Exons: 2
Source: RefSeq, a predicted model, not a curated record
UCCAAGAGGAUCAUCUCCCUAUCCUACCAGGCCUACUGACUCCCUCGGGCCUCAAGUCUCUCAUGGAUUAGACACAGCUUCGCACACUGAGGCCAGACCAGGCAGUCCUCUGCUAUGUAUGAGUCAGGGAGCCUUGGACCAGGUCAUUUAUGCUACCUGAUUGGUGGCUCAGUGUCUGAGAGAUCUCAGGGGUCCAGAAAAGCUGCCGGCAGCAGCAGGAAGCUGCUGUCAGAACUCCUCUAAACCGUGCUUUGCCUGUCCCAAUGCCAGACCAGUGCAGAGGGAGAGAGGGUGGGUGAAAGCAUCUCUGAACAUGGCAUGUCAGUGAGUUUUGUUUGUUUAUAACCAAAUACCUGACAUCAUUAAAUUAUAAAGACAA